RNAcentral lists this unclassified non-coding RNA (253 nucleotides) under uncultured fungus. Its description in RNAcentral is "partial contains 5.8S ribosomal RNA, internal transcribed spacer 2, and large subunit ribosomal RNA". The stretch from base 1 to 52 matches the Rfam family "5.8S ribosomal RNA", at positions 103 to 154 of the family's 154-position model. Lineage: Eukaryota; Fungi. The record is from RNAcentral.
AACGCACAUUGCGCCCUCUGGUAUUCCGGAGGGCAUGCCUGUUCGAGCGUCAUUUCAACCCUCAAGCCUUGCUUGGUGUUGGGGCACUGCUUUUACCCAAAAGCAGGCCCUGAAAUCCAGUGGCGAGCUCGCCAGGACCCCGAGCGCAGUAGUUAAACCCUCGCUCUGGAAGGCCCUGGCGGUGCCCUGCCGUUAAACCCCCAACUUCUGAAAAUUUGACCUCGGAUCAGGUAGGAAUACCCGCUGAACUUAA